CGACCCGCGGCCGCACAGGAUUUGGUCCAACCUCUUCAGGUAGGCAGGACUAAAGGCGGUGUCUCAGAGCUGAGCCCGCUACGGCAGCUGCCGCUACUCCGAGGAACUGAUGCUAAAUGGCCAGGCGGGCGGGCGGCUCCUUGCACCCCUAGCUCGGGGAACCAUGUCUAAGAAGCCCACUGUGCAUGCUGAAGUUGCAGGAUCUGUAUCUAGCCCUGUGCUCUUGAGAUCAUACAAGGCCCUGCCUGGUGAUCUAUCUCCAGAUGAUGCUGAUAUGAGCUCUGCCACCAGGUUUGUCAUAUUUCCCUACAUCUUUUUCUUUUUAAAAAUUUAAUUAAAAACAUUUUUUUCG
This 352-nucleotide long non-coding RNA is filed under the name Monodelphis domestica (gray short-tailed opossum). Its description in RNAcentral is "lncRNA (ENSMODG00000048207.1)". The record is from RNAcentral. Lineage: Eukaryota; Metazoa; Chordata; Mammalia; Didelphimorphia; Didelphidae.